Vespa crabro (European hornet) is the source of this 695-nucleotide long non-coding RNA. RefSeq lists it as uncharacterized. The record is from RefSeq and is a predicted model, not a curated record. NCBI's taxonomy places the organism in Eukaryota, Metazoa, Arthropoda, Insecta, Hymenoptera, Vespidae. The transcript has 3 exons.
UCUCGAGCAUCGAUCUCGAUGUUGUUUGUUAGCAUUAUGCACAUCGCGUACGAGUUAACGAGUCGGCCUUACGAACGGAUAAGAGUGGGACGAGGGAGAGAUAGAGGAGUAGGGGGAGGGGGUGAGGGUAAGGGGAGCGAAUAGGAAGGAUGGGAUAGAUACAAAAAAGAAAGAUGGCGUGAGCGAGUGGUUACGCGCGUGUCCGCGUAUGUUUGUGUGUUUUGUAUGUGUGUCUAUAUCUCUCUGUUUUGUGUGUAUAAAUGUGUGUGUGUGUGUGUGUGUGUGUGCGCGCGUGUGUGUGCGUGGUACGUGCCCGUACCCGAGUUGAUUCCGUUUGGAGUUUGGAUAUAAAUCGGGUUUGAAAAGUGCAGCCAAACUAGUGUUUUUACAUUCGACAGAAAGAGAUAAGUCAGGUUGUUCGUAUUGGUAUGAGCGAGCGAGCGAGAGAGAGAGAAAGAGAGAGAGAGUGAGAGAGAGAGAAAGUGAAAGAGAGAGAGAGAGAGAGAAUAGAGCUGAUUUAAGAGCUUACCGGGACGGAUCGUUCGUGGACUCUUACCAAACGGAGCUCGUUCGUUCGUACGUACAUACAUAUGUACAUACAUACAUAUAUACGUACAUAGGAUGUAUACUUUCAUUUCUCGAUCUGGAGGAGAACGAGGAGGAGAAAGAAGAAGAUGACGAAGAGGAAGACGAAG